GGAGACACUGAAUUAGAAACUGAGGAACUUGUUUGAUCAGGUCUCCCUGCCCCGACUGCUCUUGGUCACUUGCUUUUUGUUAUUUUUCGUUUCCUUUUUCCAUGAAGCUGAAGGCUGCAGCAUUUGAACACCUGAGCACCGAACGCUGAAACUUAACCUUCACUGGCUACUUUACAAGAUAACACAAGGCACAUUGUAAUCGUUGCUUCACUUGUUUCCAGCAACCUGGGCCAGUUCUCAUCCAGUUCAAUGGGCUGAGACCACCAACACUUUCAGUGGGCCUUUAUCUUCAAGAGUUCUUAUAAAAUGAUGUGUGCACGUGAAAAAUAUAUAUAUAAGGUAAAAUGACUAUCAAAUCUGUAAUUAAAAUUUUAUAAGAGGUGACAAAAAAUCACUUCCGAUCUAAGAGACAACCUACUAUGACAUAUUAGAAAUUACUAAGAGUAGCCCAGAGAACACAACUGACUGUCAACGACUGAAGAUAAAAAAAACUGGAAAGAAUGUAAAGGAAGGAUGACGCAAUCGUGCAUGGCGGUCCUUUACCAAAUUGAGAAUGAACACCCCAGAUGAAUGAUCUCUGAAGAUCAGAGACACUGCUCUCAGGAACAGAACACACAGUAACUCAUCUCCGUAUUCUAGGAAAUGAGUUAAUAGUGAUAAUAAAUACAGAAUUUCCAGCACCUACUGUGUGCUGGGCCAUUAUAAAUGCUACAGCUCUUCUCAGGCCAACACUGCCAGGAAGAAGUGAUGGCUUUCAUAUGACAGCCUCAGAGCUGCUGCUGUUUGCCUGAAGCCACAGGCUGAUGGGGUAGGACUAUCCUUUUCAUAUGGGGACAAGGAAUGGGAAAUUGUUAAAUAAGUCCCCCAAAAGUAAAACUAAAACAUAAAUAGUGGUUAAGAGGAAGGGUAGACAUGGAAGUUAGCUCUAAAGCUCAUUGUGAUGACCCCACGAGGUACUCAAUACAAUGGUAGCAUGUGGGGGCUUUAUUUUUAUAGGCAGCUUCUAUUUUCAUUACUAUGAGAUGUGCAGCAGAUGUCUUCAUUUACAUAUAGCCCAGGAGAUGGGAAAAAUUAAGCUGGUUUCCAGUCUUGUGUCUUAAGAGAUGUUUAUUUAAACAAUUAGCACAAAAUGGCCAAACAGAAGUUGCUUUGAUUUAACCUAAUUUUAUGAUUUAACUAGAAAAGAAAGUCUAGAAGUAUUUUAACAUCUAGGUUGGAAAGCCAACUAAAGUUAAACAGGAUUUUUAGCAGCAUCUCAACCAUUUUUAAAAAGCCCUCAAAGUGAAGUAAGUCUCAAAGUUUUACCACCUCUGUUAGCCUUCCUGACCCCAAGUGAAUCACCCGCACGGAGACCGUAUCUGGAGAACAUAAUGAUCUUUACCUACCUUUUUUUCAAAGAAUUUUUUUCUUAACUUGGCAUCUGUGGGAGGUACUGUUUUCCUCAGGUUUCUGUACCACUUUCUAACAACAUAUCCUCUCCAGUAGGCUUGGAUUCUAAAACACAGAUGUUUGAAAAUGACUAAUUUAUGAUGACUCUAUGUCAACCAAUACUUCAGUAGUUGUUAUAAGCCCUGUGCUGUACAAGGCCCUGGGGAAAUUAUGGUGGCCAAGAAGAGAGAUAAAAUCCCACUAUUCAAAAAACAAGUUAGUUGUCAUAGCCUGAUCUGUGUCUGCUCAGCGCCAAACGGGCCUGGCGUCCUCACCUGGUCACACACUUGAUUCUGAACAGGCGGGCCCCAUCGUGUAUCACUCGGGUUUGAUACUGGUUCUUUCUACAGAGAGGACAGGUUUUCUUAUUUGUGAACUUUUCAAAAGCCUGAAGACAUGCCUGAAGAAAAACAUUUCACUUAAAAUUUUACAAGUAAUUACUUAUAAACAACGUUUUUACUUCCAAUGUUAGUGUUCUAAUUAUAGUGUUCUUUUCUCCCAUAACUAUGAGACUUAGCCCAAUUUAGGUUAUAAAGUGAGGAGGCUUCAUCAGGUGCUACCACCUUCCUCACGAAACCUGUUCCAAAAAUGAUUUCUUACAAGAAUAUACAUGCAGAGACAUCAAAAACUUCUGAAAUCCACUAGCACAAAGAUGGUGGUGAUGAGUAAAAUAAAUGGCUCUCCUUAGGAGCCUUGAAAAUGACUAUGGUUUCUCUGCAUUGUGAGAGCGACGUGUGCAGCACCUGGGCAGGCGUGAGGGGUGGACUUACUUUGUGGAACACAUGGGAGCAUGAAAGCAGCACCUGUUCAUGAGGAAACAGAACAACGUUGAAGUUUACAAAAGAGAAGCAGCAUGUAUCCAACAGUUAAAAUCCUGAAUGCUUAGAAGGGAAUGUGUUCCAGGACAUUCCAAGGAUGCUCAAGUCCCUGAUAGAAGAUGGUGGAGUAUUUGCAUACAACCCAUGCAUAUCCUCCUGUAUACUGCCAGUCAUCUCGAUUACCAAUAAUUCCUAAUGCAAGUGCUAUGUAAAUAGCUGUUAUACUAUAUUGUUUUUAAUUUGUAUUAUUUUUAUUAUAUUGUUGUAUUGUUAUUUUUUAUUCAUUUAUUAAAAUUUUGAUCUGUG
Molecule: long non-coding RNA, 2552 nt
Organism: Pan troglodytes (chimpanzee)
Lineage: Eukaryota; Metazoa; Chordata; Mammalia; Primates; Hominidae
Exons: 3
Source: RefSeq, a predicted model, not a curated record